GGGAUUGUAACUCAGCGGUAGAGUGCUCACCUAGCAUGUGCGAGGCCCUGGGUUUGAUCCUCAGCACCA
This 69-nucleotide transfer RNA is filed under the name Ictidomys tridecemlineatus (thirteen-lined ground squirrel). RNAcentral's name for it is "Spermophilus tridecemlineatus (thirteen-lined ground squirrel) tRNA". It matches the Rfam family "tRNA". Rfam says of the family: Transfer RNA (tRNA) molecules are approximately 80 nucleotides in length. Their secondary structure includes four short double-helical elements and three loops (D, anti-codon, and T loops). Lineage: Eukaryota; Metazoa; Chordata; Mammalia; Rodentia; Sciuridae. The record is from Rfam by way of RNAcentral.